This 425-nucleotide long non-coding RNA is filed under the name Mytilus galloprovincialis (Mediterranean mussel). Lineage: Eukaryota; Metazoa; Mollusca; Bivalvia; Mytilida; Mytilidae. The record is from RNAcentral.
UUUUAUGCCCCACCUACGAUAGUAUAGGGGCAUUAUGUUUUCUGGUCUGUGCCUCCGUUCGUUCGUCCGUGCGUCCGUUCGCUUCAGGUUAAAGUUUUUGGUCAAGGUAGUUUUUGAAGAACUUGAAGUCCAAUCAACUUGAAACUUAGUACACAUGUUCCCCAUGAUAUGCUCUUUCUAAUUUUAAUGCUAUAUUAUAGUUUUGACCCCAAUUUCAUGGUCCACUGAACAUAGAAAAUGAUAGUGCGAAGUUCAGGUUAAAGUUUUUGGUCAAGGUAGUUUUUGAUGAAGUUAAAGUUACAUCAACUUGAAACUUAGUACACAUGUUCCCUAUGGUAUGAUCUUUCUAAUUUUAAUUCCAAAUUAAAGUUUUGACCCCAAUUUCACGGUCCACUGAACAUAGAAAAUGAUAGUGCGAGUGGGGC